GACGAACGCUGGCGGCGUGCUUAACACAUGCAAGUCGAACGGAAAGGCCCUGCUUUUGUGGGGUGCUCGAGUGGCGAACGGGUGAGUAACACGUGAGUAACCUGCCCUUGACUAUGGGAUAACUUCAGGAAACUGGGGCUAAUACCGGAUAGGAGCUCCUGCUGCAUGGUGGGGGUUGGAAAGUUUCGGCGGUUGGGGAUGGACUCGCGGCUUAUCAGCUUGUUGGUGGGGUAGUGGCUUACCAAGGCUUUGACGGGUAGCCGGCCUGAGAGGGUGACCGGCCACAUUGGGACUGAGAUGCGGCCCAGACUCCUACGGGAGGCAGCAGUGGGGAAUAUUGCACAAUGGGCGGAAGCCUGAUGCAGCAACGCCGCGUGCGGGAUGACGGCCUUCGGGUUGUAAACCGCUUUCGCCUGUGACGAAGCGUGAGUGACGGUAAUGGGUAAAGAAGCACCGGCUAACUACGUG
This 468-nucleotide ribosomal RNA is filed under the name uncultured bacterium. RNAcentral's name for it is "partial 16S ribosomal RNA". It matches the Rfam family "Bacterial small subunit ribosomal RNA", at positions 28 to 507 of the family's 1533-position model. The record is from RNAcentral.